RNAcentral lists this ribosomal RNA (253 nucleotides) under uncultured bacterium. Its description in RNAcentral is "partial 16S ribosomal RNA". It matches the Rfam family "Bacterial small subunit ribosomal RNA", at positions 524 to 776 of the family's 1533-position model. The record is from RNAcentral.
UACGAAGGUGGCAAGCGUUGUUCGGAUUUACUGGGCGUACAGGGAGCGUAGGCGGUUGUAUAAGCCCUCCGUGAAAUCUCCAGGCUUAACCUGGAAAGUGCAGAGGGGACUGUUCAGCUAGAGGAUGGGAGAGGGUCGCGGAAUUCCCGGUGUAGAGGUGAAAUUCGUAGAUAUCGGGAGGAACACCGGUGGCGAAGGCGGCGACCUGGGUUGAUACUGACGCUGAGGCGCGAAAGCGUGGGGAGCAAACAGG